This 529-nucleotide ribosomal RNA is filed under the name uncultured Serratia sp. RNAcentral describes it as "bacterial SSU rRNA". It matches the Rfam family "Bacterial small subunit ribosomal RNA", at positions 535 to 1065 of the family's 1533-position model. The record is from RNAcentral. Lineage: Bacteria; Pseudomonadati; Pseudomonadota; Gammaproteobacteria; Enterobacterales; Yersiniaceae.
CCGCCGUUAUCGGGAUUAUUGGGCGUAAGCGCACGCAGGCGGUUUGUUAAGUCAGAUGUGAAAUCCCCGGGCACAACCAGGGAACUGCAUUUGAAACUGGCAAGCUAGAGUCUCGUAGAGGGGGGUAGAAUUCCAGGUGUAGCGGUGAAAUGCGUAGAGAUCUGGAGGAAUACCGGUGGCGAAGGCGGCCCCCUGGACGAAGACUGACGCUCAGGUGCGAAAGCGUGGGGAGCAAACAGGAUUAGAUACCCUGGUAGUCCACGCUGUAAACGAUGUCGAUUUGGAGGUUGUGCCCUUGAGGCGUGGCUUCCGGAGCUAACGCGUUAAAUCGACCGCCUGGGGAGUACGGCCGCAAGGUUAAAACUCAAAUGAAUUGACGGGGGCCCGCACAAGCGGUGGAGCAUGUGGUUUAAUUCGAUGCAACGCGAAGAACCUUACCUACUCUUGACAUCCAGAGAACUUUCCAGAGAUGGAUUGGUGCCUUCGGGAACUCUGAGACAGGUGCUGCAUGGCUGUCGUCAGCUCGUGU